RNAcentral lists this ribosomal RNA (887 nucleotides) under Epicoccum poaceicola. RNAcentral describes it as "partial large subunit ribosomal RNA". It matches the Rfam family "Eukaryotic large subunit ribosomal RNA", at positions 62 to 967 of the family's 3401-position model. The record is from RNAcentral. Lineage: Eukaryota; Fungi; Ascomycota; Dothideomycetes; Pleosporales; Didymellaceae.
AAACCAACAGGGAUUGCUCUAGUAACGGCGAGUGAAGCGGCAACAGCUCAAAUUUGAAAUCUGGCGUCUUUGGCGUCCGAGUUGUAAUUUGCAGAGGGCGCUUUGGCAUUGGCAGCGGUCCAAGUUCCUUGGAACAGGACGUCACAGAGGGUGAGAAUCCCGUACGUGGUCGCUAGCCUUUACCGUGUAAAGCCCCUUCGACGAGUCGAGUUGUUUGGGAAUGCAGCUCUAAAUGGGAGGUAAAUUUCUUCUAAAGCUAAAUACUGGCCAGAGACCGAUAGCGCACAAGUAGAGUGAUCGAAAGAUGAAAAGCACUUUGGAAAGAGAGUUAAAAAGCACGUGAAAUUGUUGAAAGGGAAGCGCUUGCAGCCAGACUUGCCUGUAGUUGCUCAUCCGGGUUUCUACCCGGUGCACUCUUCUACGGGCAGGCCAGCAUCAGUUUGGGCGGUUGGAUAAAGGUCUCUGUCAUGUACCUCCUCUCGGGGAGAACUUAUAGGGGAGACGACAUGCAACCAGCCCGGACUGAGGUCCGCGCAUCUGCUAGGAUGCUGGCGUAAUGGCUGUAAGCGGCCCGUCUUGAAACACGGACCAAGGAGUCUAACAUCUAUGCGAGUGUUUGGGUGUCAAGCCCGAGCGCGUAAUGAAAGUGAACGGAGGUGGGAACCUUUCGGGGUGCACCAUCGACCGAUCCUGAUGUCUUCGGAUGGAUUUGAGUAAGAGCAUAGCUGUUGGGACCCGAGAGAUGGUGAACUAUGCUUGAAUAGGGUGAAGCCAGAGGAAACUCUGGUGGAGGCUCGCAGCGGUUCUGACGUGCAAAUCGAUCGUCAAAUUUGGGCAUAGGGGCGAAAGACUAAUCGAACUAUCUAGUAGCUGGUUCCUGCCGAUCU